UACGUAGGGUGCGAGCGUUGUCCGGAAUUAUUGGGCGUAAAGAGCUUGUAGGCGGUUUGUCGCGUCUGCCGUGAAAUUUCGAGGCUCAACCUCGAACUUGCGGUGGGUACGGGCAGACUAGAGUGUGGUAGGGGGAGACUGGAAUUCCUGGUGUAGCGGUGAAAUGCGCAGAUAUCAGGAGGAACACCGAUGGCGAAGGCAGGUCUCUGGGCAUUAACUGACGCUGAGGAGCGAAAGCAUGGGGAGCGAACAGG
RNAcentral lists this ribosomal RNA (254 nucleotides) under uncultured bacterium. RNAcentral describes it as "partial 16S ribosomal RNA". It matches the Rfam family "Bacterial small subunit ribosomal RNA", at positions 524 to 776 of the family's 1533-position model. The record is from RNAcentral.